RNAcentral lists this ribosomal RNA (763 nucleotides) under Klebsiella pneumoniae. Its description in RNAcentral is "partial 23S ribosomal RNA". It matches the Rfam family "Bacterial large subunit ribosomal RNA", at positions 762 to 1527 of the family's 2925-position model. The record is from RNAcentral. Lineage: Bacteria; Pseudomonadati; Pseudomonadota; Gammaproteobacteria; Enterobacterales; Enterobacteriaceae.
CUAACUGGAGGACCGAACCGACUAAUGUUGAAAAAUUAGCGGAUGACUUGUGGCUGGGGGUGAAAGGCCAAUCAAACCGGGAGAUAGCUGGUUCUCCCCGAAAGCUAUUUAGGUAGCGCCUCGUGAACUCAUCUUCGGGGGUAGAGCACUGUUUCGGCUAGGGGGUCAUCCCGACUUACCAACCCGAUGCAAACUACGAAUACCGAAGAAUGUUAUCACGGGAGACACACGGCGGGUGCUAACGUCCGUCGUGAAGAGGGAAACAACCCAGACCGCCAGCUAAGGUCCCAAAGUCAUGGUUAAGUGGGAAACGAUGUGGGAAGGCACAGACAGCCAGGAUGUUGGCUUAGAAGCAGCCAUCAUUUAAAGAAAGCGUAAUAGCUCACUGGUCGAGUCGGCCUGCGCGGAAGAUGUAACGGGGCUAAACCAUGCACCGAAGCUGCGGCAGCGACACUAUGUGUUGUUGGGUAGGGGAGCGUUCUGUAAGCCUGCGAAGGUGUGCUGUGAGGCAUGCUGGAGGUAUCAGAAGUGCGAAUGCUGACAUAAGUAACGAUAAAGCGGGUGAAAAGCCCGCUCGCCGGAAGACCAAGGGUUCCUGUCCAACGUUAAUCGGGGCAGGGUGAGUCGACCCCUAAGGCGAGGCCGAAAGGCGUAGUCGAUGGGAAACAGGUUAAUAUUCCUGUACUUGGUGUUACUGCGAAGGGGGGACGGAGAAGGCUAUGUUAGCCGGGCGACGGUUGUCCCGGUUUAAGCAUGUAGGCUG